AAGUCGUAACAAGGUUUCCGUAGGUGAACCUGCGGAAGGAUCAUUAUCGUACAACGGGGGUACAAGGGCUGUCGCUAACCUUUCAAAAGGUUGUGCACGCCCGAGUGCCCUCACACAUCCAUCUCACCCCUUUGUGCAUCACCGCGUGGGCCUCCUUUUUGCAAAGGAGCUUCACGUUUUCACACAAAACUUGAUACAGUGUAGAAUGUUAUCUUUGCGGUCACACGCAAUCAAUACAACUUUCAACAACGGAUCUCUUGGCUCUCGCAUCGAUGAAGAACGCAGCGAAAUGCGAUACGUAAUGUGAAUUGCAGAAUUCAGUGAAUCAUCGAAUCUUUGAACGCACCUUGCGCCCCUUGGCAUUCCGAGGGGCACACCCGUUUGAGUGUCGUGAAAUCCUCAAAAAUCCUUUUCAGUAAGAUUUUUGGACUUGGAGGUUUAAUGCUUGCCUUUCACCUUUGAAAGUGAGCUCCUCUCAAAUGAAUUAGUGGGGUCUGCUUUGCUUUGAUCCUUGACGUGAUAAGAUGUUUCUACGUUUUGGAUUUUUGGCACUGUUCCUUUGGAUGCCUGCUUCUAACUGUCUUUAUGGACAAUGGAUGGUGUUCCGGUCCCUGCCGUCUAAUGUCGGUGGGAGGCUGGACCCACGAACGAAAAACCUUGACCUCAAAUCGGGUGAGACUACCCGCUGAACUUAA
RNAcentral lists this unclassified non-coding RNA (695 nucleotides) under fungal sp. NI-11M. Its description in RNAcentral is "partial contains 18S rRNA, ITS1, 5.8S rRNA, ITS2 and 28S RNA". The stretch from base 238 to 391 matches the Rfam family "5.8S ribosomal RNA". Lineage: Eukaryota; Fungi. The record is from RNAcentral.